AAGAACUUUGAAAAGAGAGUGAAAAAGGGCCUGAAAUUGUUAAGAGGAUAAGUGGUUGGAGCAUAUCAUAUCAUACGGUCACAAAAGGUCCUCCGGGAUUGGUAUGGCCGUGUGGUUGGUCAGCAUCUAUUUCUGGGGGGGGAGAAUGCUUUUGCGAAGGCCUUCGGGCUGACGUGUUAGUGAAACCCUGCUGGAGAUAGAGGCACAAAGAGCGCGCAUAGCGGCCGGCCCCUUUUGCGGUGUGUAAUGUUGGGUCGAUCCUUCGGGCAUUUACUUUUCAUUGGGCUUCGACUUGAGGGAGCGCUGGACCUGCGUUCUGAAGAUGCUGGCACAAAUGGCUUCAACCAGCCCGUCUUGAAACACGGACCAAGGAGUCUAACACAUAUGCGAGUAGUAAGGUGGCAAACCUUGGAUGCGCAAUGAAAGUAACGUGGUGGGAUUCGUAAGAUGCACCAUCAACCGACCAGGAUCUUUUGUGAAAGGUUUGAGUAAGAGCAUAUAUGUUGGGACCCGAAAGAUGGUGAACUA
This 528-nucleotide ribosomal RNA is filed under the name Mesodinium rubrum. RNAcentral's name for it is "partial Eukaryotic large subunit ribosomal RNA". It matches the Rfam family "Eukaryotic large subunit ribosomal RNA", at positions 369 to 833 of the family's 3401-position model. Lineage: Eukaryota; Ciliophora; Litostomatea; Cyclotrichida; Mesodiniidae. The record is from RNAcentral.